This 116-nucleotide ribosomal RNA is filed under the name Pteropus alecto (black flying fox). Lineage: Eukaryota; Metazoa; Chordata; Mammalia; Chiroptera; Pteropodidae. The record is from RNAcentral.
GUCUAUGGCCAUGCCGCUCUGAAUGAGCCCGAUUUCUGCUCUCAGAAGCUAAGUAGGGUCGGGCCUGGUUAGUACUUGGAUGGGAGACCACCUAGGAAGACCAGGUGCUGUAGACA